CCUACGGGAGGCAGCAGUGGGGAAUAUUGCGCAAUGGGCGAUAGCCUGACGCAGCGACGCCGCGUGAGGGAUGAAGGUCUUCGGAUCGUAAACCUCUGUCAGCAGGGAAGAACGGUCACUGUGCUAAUCAGCAGUGAAUUGACGGUACCUGCAAAGGAAGCACCGGCUAACUCCGUGCCAGCAGCCGCGGUAAUACGGAGGGUGCGAGCGUUAAGCGGAAUUACUGGGCGUAAAGCGCUCGUAGGCGGUAUGUCAAGUCAAGGGUGAAAUCCCCGCGCUCAACGUGGGAACUGCCUUUGAAACUGGCAAACUGGAGUGUGUGAGAGGAUAGUGGAAUUCCAGGUGUAGGAGUGAAAGCCGUAGAUAUCUGGAGGAACAUCAGUGGCGAAGGCGACUAUCUGGCACAUAACUGACGCUGAGGAGCGAAAGCGUGGGUAGCAAACAGGAUUAGAUACCCUGGUAGUC
This 465-nucleotide ribosomal RNA is filed under the name uncultured bacterium. RNAcentral's name for it is "partial 16S ribosomal RNA". It matches the Rfam family "Bacterial small subunit ribosomal RNA", at positions 338 to 795 of the family's 1533-position model. The record is from RNAcentral.